This 404-nucleotide ribosomal RNA is filed under the name Actinomycetes bacterium. RNAcentral's name for it is "Actinobacteria bacterium partial 16S ribosomal RNA". It matches the Rfam family "Bacterial small subunit ribosomal RNA", at positions 355 to 776 of the family's 1533-position model. The record is from RNAcentral. Lineage: Bacteria; Bacillati; Actinomycetota; Actinomycetes.
UGGGGAAUAUUGGACAAUGGGCGCAAGCCUGAUCCAGCCAUUCCGCGUGAGUGAUGAAGGCCCUAGGGUUGUAAAGCUCUUUCACCGGUGAAGAUAAUGACGGUAACCGGAGAAGAAGCCCCGGCUAACUUCGUGCCAGCAGCCGCGGUAAUACGAAGGGGGCUAGCGUUGUUCGGAUUUACUGGGCGUAAAGCGCACGUAGGCGGACUUUUAAGUCAGGGGUGAAAUCCCGGGGCUCAACCCCGGAGCUGCCUUUGAUACUGGAAGGCUUGAGUAUGGUAGAGGUGAGUGGAAUUCCGAGUGUAGAAGUGAAAUUCGUAGAUAUUCGGAGGAACACCAGUGGCGAAGGCGGCUCACUGGACCAUUACUGACGCUGAGGUGCGAAAGCGUGGGGAGCAAACAGG